GACUUUGACAUAGAGUGCAGAGAAGAAUAACAGUGGUCUGACUAUAUAAAGAAAGGUGCUGGAGUACAUGCUCACUUGCAAGCUAUACUCCUUCAACUGGAGGACCUGCCCCAGUGAUUUCUCAUAGGGAUCUUGCCUCACUGAAUGAUAAUUGAAAGGGCAAAGAGGUGGGACUCUAGCCAAAACACAGAAAGCCUGUUGCAAUUUGCUCAGGGCCAGUCAAGUUUACAAAAGCCUCUUCCAUUGAACCAUCUUCUUAAAGCUGAAAAUACACAGCAGCUAAGGGCUUUACUUCACUCAAGGAAAAAACUCUGCAACUCAAAAGUUUAUAUGCUAUUUUGUGGACCCUGCUUGGUUCUAAUGAAGGUGGUAUUGUAUUGACCCUGUGAGUUGCAUUUGAGAGUUAUGGGAUUUACAGUAUAACCUCUCAUUACUUGCUUAAGAUGUCCAGCCAUCGCUUCUAAGAAAGUAAAGGACUCAGCCUUACCUCCAGCCUAUUUGGUUCAAGACAGCUGCCUUAUUUCCCAAUCUCUUGGUGGCUGAUUGAGGCUCUGAGUGUGGCUGCAGUUGGAGAUAGGCAUUUGUGCCAACUCAAAGACAGGAAAGAAUUCAUUGGUGUCUACCACAAGUUGUGAUCAAAGCUUCUCAAGGACUUGGAUGGCAUGUCUGGCUUGUUAUUUUCAUCUCCUGUUAAAUAUUCAAUGGGCUAAAUAGGUCAAAACCAUCCAAACUGGGCAGGAAGUGCACAGUUGGAGCAUUCUGUCAGUGGUUAAUUGGGGCUGAAAAACUAGUCUUCGACCAGCUGCUGCUAUGCAUUCAAGGUUACAAAUGGCAAAGGAAGAAUUUCUGCUGCACCAACCAGACUAUUGUCUUCACUGUAUCUUCUAAGCUGCAUCUUUAGGUUGAGAUGCAGGUAACUUUGAUACUGGAUAUCAGUGUGCUGCUGGCAAGUUGGGUUAGCCUUCAAUUUUAGAGACCAACUGUUAAGCCCAGCUUGCAAAAUGAGAUCCCUCUCUAACCUACUUUCUAUCUCAGGAUUACCAGCUAACCAAGAAAAUAAUUAUUCUUGCUCUUGUGCCUUUAAGAGCAGCUUGAUCUACAGAAAUUGGCAAAUUUCAUGAACUUUUCAUGUAUAAAACAUGAACAUAAACAUGAACACUUCCCAAUGCCUGUAGGUGAUGCUGCUGUUAACAACAGCAAAGAUAACAAGCAAAGACUUGGCAAUCUGUGUUUGAAUGUCUUCUGUCUGUCUGUCUUCGUUGUUCCCUCCUCUCCCUGUAUUUCCUUCUCUUGGGAAAAAUAGCUAAACCAAAUAAAUUGAAACAAUGCUCGUGCUGUUGGUGUGAUUUGUCUUAGGAUAAGGCACAUGCCAAUUAAGGAUCAUCAUUACUCACCAUUUGAAAACAUUAGUACACAUGGAGAUUGGGAGCCUCAACUCCAAGGCUGCAAUCCUAUGCACGCUUCUGAAUAAGCUCUGAAUAUAUAUGUGUAUAAGGACUGGAAGACCACAGUUCUAUGCACAUUUACUUAGGAGCAAGUCCCAUUUAAUUUUAAGAGAUUUAUUUAUGAGUAAAAAUGCAUUAAACAGACUCUGUUGCCAACUUUUUUAGCUCCUUUGCCUUUAACAACUACUUAGUCUACAAACAUUAGCAGGUGUGAUAAGACUGAUCUCCAAGCUAUGAAAAGCCCCACCUGUGCAGAAAUCCACAUCACAGCUGCUCUUAAAGACACAGGUGCAGGCCAGGCCAUUUUUUUUCUGAGAAGGAUAAAGAGGAUGACAUCCAUGAAGCCUUCAACCAAGAACCUCAUGGUCUGGAACUGGAGUAUAGCCCUACUGAGUAACCUGGAUCUGUAUGAGCUCAAGUCUCAUAGCCUUCUUCAGACACAGAAAACCUCUGGAUUUGAAGGAUGUAAAAGUACUUUUGGCUAUUGUUCUGGCCUAGUUAACAGAGCAGUACCUUCUGCUCUUCUGACUGUUGUUGUGUAAAUUUGUAUAUUUGUUAAACAGAGAACGGCAAUGGUCUGAAAUGUGUGUGCGUUUACCUAAGUAGCAGGCUUUUACCCUGCAUUGACAUCACUGAGACUUAAGACUUAGUAAAAUAAGAAAAGCUACUUUGUUGAGUAGAUAGAAAGGCAUACCUAGUUCUGACUAACUAAGUUGCAGGUACAAUGCCCAGGCUUGAGAAUUGCCCUCAUGGCUUAGGAGAGAGAGAGCAGAGACAAAGGUGUCU
Rhineura floridana is the source of this 2231-nucleotide long non-coding RNA. RefSeq lists it as uncharacterized. NCBI's taxonomy places the organism in Eukaryota, Metazoa, Chordata, Lepidosauria, Squamata, Rhineuridae. The record is from RefSeq and is a predicted model, not a curated record. The transcript is spliced from 3 exons.